AUUGAACGCUGGCGGAAUGCUUUACACAUGCAAGUCGAACGGCAGCACGGGGCAACCUGGUGGCGAGUGGCGAACGGUGAGUAAUACAUCGGAACGUGCCCAAUCGUGGGGGAUAACGUAGCGAAAGUUACGCUAAUACCGCAUACGAUCUACGGAUGAAAGCGGGGGAUCGCAAGACCUCGCGCGAGUGGAGCGGCCGAUGUCAGAUUAGGUAGUUGGUGGGGUAAAGGCUCACCAAGCCAACGAUCUGUAGCUGGUCUGAGAGGACGACCAGCCACACUGGAACUGAGACACGGUCCAGACUCCUACGGGAGGCAGCAGUGGGGAAUUUUGGACAAUGGGCGCAAGCCUGAUCCAGCCAUUCCGCGUGCAGGAUGAAGGCCUGGUUGUAACUAGCUUUGUUACGG
RNAcentral lists this ribosomal RNA (407 nucleotides) under uncultured bacterium. RNAcentral's name for it is "bacterial SSU rRNA". It matches the Rfam family "Bacterial small subunit ribosomal RNA", at positions 30 to 443 of the family's 1533-position model. The record is from RNAcentral.